This 503-nucleotide ribosomal RNA is filed under the name uncultured bacterium. Its description in RNAcentral is "partial 16S ribosomal RNA". It matches the Rfam family "Bacterial small subunit ribosomal RNA", at positions 30 to 523 of the family's 1533-position model. The record is from RNAcentral.
AUUGAACGCUGGCGGCAGGCUCAACACAUGCAAGUCGAGCGGGGUGAUGGUGCUUGCACUAUCACUUAGCGGCGGACGGGUGAGUAAUGCUUAGGAAUCUGCCUAUUAGUGGGGGACAACAUCUCGAAAGGGAUGUUAAUACCGCAUACGUCCUACGGGAGAAAGCAGGGGAUCACUUGUGACCUUGCGCUAAUAGAUGAGCCUAAGUCGGAUUAGCUAGUUGGUGGGGUAAAGGCCUACCAAGGCGACGAUCUGUAGCGGGUCUGAGAGGAUGAUCCGCCACACUGGGACUGAGACACGGCCCAGACUCCUACGGGAGGCAGCAGUGGGGAAUAUUGGACAAUGGGGGGAACCCUGAUCCAGCCACGCCGCGUGUGUGAAGAAGGCCUUAUGGUUGUAAAGCACUUUAAGCGAGGAGGAGGCUCUUUUGGUUAAUACCCAAGAUGAGUGGACGUUACUCGCAGAAUAAGCACCGGCUAACUCUGUGCCAGCCGCCGCCGUAA